Molecule: long non-coding RNA, 588 nt
Filed under: Androctonus crassicauda
Lineage: Eukaryota; Metazoa; Arthropoda; Arachnida; Scorpiones; Buthidae
Source: RNAcentral
ACAGUUACGAAAGAUGGUGUUCCGCUAUUUUCCUAUUAGUACCAAAAGUGUUCCGCCGCUACAAAAAGAUUGAGAAUCACUGGAUUAAACCAACAAUAAUUAUUAUACGUAACGGAUUUUUACUAGUCGAUGCUUUAGGUCCCGAUAUAUUCUUUCUUAUUGGAAUUUACUUCACCGUAUAGUCGAUGGUCAUGAUUUAUAACGCCAUCAUAGACUGGUUCGAAAAGUCGCGCCUAUUAUUUUUAUUUGAUUAGGCAAUUUAAUGGUGGUAAUAAAUACUAGUCAGUGGAUAGUCUGGUCAGCCAAAUAUUGGCCCGGCCGAGCGUUCGAAUCUGGAGAAUCGGGAUUCGAUGAAGGAUCCCAGUAUGGCCAACGCUUUAAGGGAGGAUCCCCGUCCCAAUUCGAUAUCGUACUACCGACGACAAGAAAUACUACAACAAGUUCGAUGGCCAGACCAAACCUCGGUAACUAAACGAUAAUUUUCUACCUAUUUAUUUAGAAAGAAUCCAAUUAUAUCCAGAAAUUUUCCAUUUAGUGGGUAAUAUUUAUUAAAUUUUGAUAUAAUUUAUAGAGCGAGGGAAUUGCGUG